RNAcentral lists this ribosomal RNA (496 nucleotides) under uncultured bacterium. RNAcentral's name for it is "partial 16S ribosomal RNA". It matches the Rfam family "Bacterial small subunit ribosomal RNA", at positions 29 to 507 of the family's 1533-position model. The record is from RNAcentral.
AUGAACGCUGGCGGCGUGCCUAAUACAUGCCAGUCGAGCUAACAGACGAGGAGCUUGCUCCUCUGACGUUAGCGGCGGACGGGUGAGUAACACGUGGAUAACCUACCUAUAAGACUGGGAUAACUUCGGGAAACCGGAGCUAAUACCGGAUAAUAUAUUGAACCGCAUGGUUCAAUAGUGAAAGACGGUUUUGCUGUCACUUAUAGAUGGAUCCGCGCCGCAUUAGCUAGUUGGUAAGGUAACGGCUUACCAAGGCAACGAUGCGUAGCCGACCUGAGAGGGUGAUCGGCCACACUGGAACUGAGACACGGUCCAGACUCCUACGGGAGGCAGCAGUAGGGAAUCUUCCGCAAUGGGCGAAAGCCUGACGGAGCAACGCCGCGUGAGUGAUGAAGGUCUUCGGAUCGUAAAACUCUGUUAUUAGGGAAGAACAAAUGUGUAAGUAACUAUGCACGUCUUGACGGUACCUAAUCAGAAAGCCACGGCUAACUACGUG